GGCCCGUUCGUCUAGGGGUUAGGACGCAGGAUUUUCAUUCCUGAAACACGGGUUCGAUUCCCGUACGGGCUACCC
RNAcentral lists this transfer RNA (75 nucleotides) under Flavilitoribacter nigricans DSM 23189 = NBRC 102662. RNAcentral's name for it is "Lewinella nigricans DSM 23189 = NBRC 102662 tRNA-Glu". It matches the Rfam family "tRNA". Rfam says of the family: Transfer RNA (tRNA) molecules are approximately 80 nucleotides in length. Lineage: Bacteria; Pseudomonadati; Bacteroidota; Saprospiria; Saprospirales; Lewinellaceae. The record is from RNAcentral.